AAACUUUCAACAACGGAUUUGUCGUUUCUCGCAUCGAUGAAGAACGCAGCGGAAUGCGAUAAGUAAUGUGAAUUGCAGAAUUCAGUGAAUCAUCGAAUCUUUGAACGCACAUUGCGCCCCCUGGUAUUCCGGGGGGCAUGCCUGUCCGAGCGUCAUUA
Molecule: ribosomal RNA, 158 nt
Filed under: Arachnomyces glareosus
Lineage: Eukaryota; Fungi; Ascomycota; Eurotiomycetes; Onygenales; Arachnomycetaceae
Description: 5.8S ribosomal RNA
Rfam family: 5.8S ribosomal RNA
About the family: 5.8S ribosomal RNA (5.8S rRNA) is a component of the large subunit of the eukaryotic ribosome. It is transcribed by RNA polymerase I as part of the 45S precursor that also contains 18S and 28S rRNA. Functionally, it is thought that 5.8S rRNA may be involved in ribosome translocation.
Source: RNAcentral